GCCACAGCUAUUAUAUUUUUAUAGCAGGCCAAUAUUUUCAGAUUUGGAGCUUAGUCAUCCCUUUAAAGAUCAAUCUGCUGGCAAGAAAAUCCUUUACCUUAUAGCUACAAGCAUGAGGCAGAGGAGAGACAAGCUUUGGUGAAGUUUGGUGAGAGAAAGAAUCAGAGAUUGGAUCUUAUGACCAAUUCUUCUGGAAUGCACAUGUGGAAAAUAUCCAAAUAUUCUUGAGGGGCAGUCUUCACUUGUUCCCUCAGCCUGCAAGAAAUGCACAUUAAUAGCGGCUUCUUCCCUGAGGAAGGUUUUGAACUGGAGUACUUGAGAAGAAACUUACAACAGAGCAGCCUAAAGUGCCACCCAGUCCCUUUUAAUUAGCACAUGUAAGUCCCCCAACAUGCAAGAUAUGAUUGAGACUUUCUGCCAUUUCAUUUUAAUAUCAGUGUUAUAUGCUAACGUUUGUCAGACUAAGCUAAAAAACCACUUCUUUUUAUGUUGUUUCCCACAUGCAGAGCAGACCUCUUACAUUUUUGUUGGCUGCUAACGUACUAAGCGUUUUUUGGCAGCAUGCGGUUCUGGAUUGAAGCCAUGCAUGCAAGUCUUCCACAUUGUGCUCUUUUCCCAGCAUGUUCCCCAGGACAUUGGAAGAAGAGAAAAGCUGAAUCAGUUUGGAAAAACAUAAAUAUUUCUGAACGUGUGGACAGUUCUCACUUCUCAUGUGUGGGAGGAAUAUUUCACUGCCCUCCUACCCAUCACUCAAAUGUCCCGAUCAAGUUAUUGAAAUAAAUUAUCUUAAAGAAUAAUUAUCUGACAAGAAUUCUUUUCCUGUCUCAAAAAGCACAUCUACUACCCUAUAAGCUUUUUUACCUACAUAGCUUACACACAGGCUGAUUUCAAUAAAUAAACUGGAUGAUGCCUAAAUCCUCUG
Long non-coding RNA from Zonotrichia albicollis (white-throated sparrow), 922 nucleotides. The record is from Ensembl. Lineage: Eukaryota; Metazoa; Chordata; Aves; Passeriformes; Passerellidae.